This 82-nucleotide transfer RNA is filed under the name Azoarcus sp. RNAcentral describes it as "tRNA-OTHER". Lineage: Bacteria; Pseudomonadati; Pseudomonadota; Betaproteobacteria; Rhodocyclales; Zoogloeaceae. The record is from RNAcentral.
GGCGCGGUGUACCCCGAUGGGUAAGGGGGCACUCCCGGCUUGCCGGGGCUGUUGAUGCCAGUUCGAGUCUGGCUCCGCAUCA